UAGAUCAUGCUCUGAGGACAGGGGCUCCUGUCCUGUCAGCACAGCCCCCUGCCCAGUCAGGCCCAGGGCAGCUGGGGCCCGAAUGCCCAAUGAACUCAACGCAGUGUGCUCCCUUCUGCACACCCAGCCCCCUCCCUCUCCUUGCAGCCCUGCUUUCCCAGAACUGGCUUGGAGGUGUGCACACCUUCUGACCUGGGCCCGAGCCCAGGGCCCUCUGUCUCAGCCCAGGAUCCCCAAGCCCUCCACAACGCCAGUGGCUUCUGCAGAAGGGGCAGCAGGUGGGGAAAUGCUGAAACAGUCAGGGGUCACCUUGUGCAUGUGCAGAGCUGGGUGAGAGAGAGCCCCAGAGCCCCAGUGGCAGGGGCUGUUGGGGAUGGAGACCUGGGCUGCAGGGCUGGCAUUUGGCACCUGGCACCAGCAUCCAGAGACUCAAGGCCAUCCACCCUUUUCCUGAGGAGAAGCUGAUGGACGAAUGGUCUCAGGCAAGGAGUUGAGGUGGUCAUCUCCCAUCCGUGUGCAACCUACCUUCCAAGACCCCCAAACCUGAAAUAGAGAGGUCUGAUCUUGGAGGGUGCGUCUGAGGACCCAAGAGAGAACUUCCCUAGAAGUUCUCAGCACCCUGGACCGUGCCCUGAGGAACCCACUCACUGUUCAACACCCCGGAGCGAACCCCAGAACCAGGCUGGGGGCUCUGCCCAGAGGGCACCCCAAGGCCGGCACAUCUGGCAGCCACAAAGGAGAUGGGCCGGGCCUAGAUCGCCAGGACGUCAAAAGGACAUCUUCUGGGGGAAGGGCACGGGGGAACCCACCUCGCUCGGUCCUGAGUUUCUAGAAGUGGAGGAUCCUGAAGUUGUGGGAUCAAGAGGCCGAGGAGGUGGCCCGUUGAAAGAAGAUGGACUGAUGAUAGGCGACGGAUAGUCUCCUCUGGUCAAGGUUUUUGGAGAAGACUUACUCCUCCCAUCACCCCACCCCCAGGCAGGCAGGCCGCCUAAAAAAUGCAGGUGCCGGCCCUCUGUGAGCUCACCACCUUCUCACAAGCCCCCUGUGGUGGUUAUUAUUACCCUCAUUGUUCCGGGUAGGCGCCCAGGGCUCAGAGAGGCCAAGUGACUUGCCCAAGGUCACACAGCUCAGCAGGGGCAGAUAGGGAAUUGGAACGCGGGUUUCCAGAGCCCCGCUCCAGAAGCUCUUUCUAGACAGCCGCCACCUUCCCGGGAUACUGCUCAGGAAUAAAGCAGGAAGGCCCAGCUCCUGGCUUUCCCCCAAAAACAA
This is a long non-coding RNA of Marmota monax (woodchuck), 1269 nucleotides long. RefSeq lists it as uncharacterized. Lineage: Eukaryota; Metazoa; Chordata; Mammalia; Rodentia; Sciuridae. The transcript is spliced from 3 exons. The record is from RefSeq and is a predicted model, not a curated record.